RNAcentral lists this long non-coding RNA (964 nucleotides) under Homo sapiens (human). Its description in RNAcentral is "HSALNT0041200". Lineage: Eukaryota; Metazoa; Chordata; Mammalia; Primates; Hominidae. The record is from RNAcentral.
GUCUCCUUCCAUAGUGUGGAAGCUUUGUUCUUUCACUCUUUGCGAUAAAUCUUGCUGCUGCUCACUCUUUGGGUCCACACUGCCUUUAUGAGCUGUAACAUUCACCGCGAAGGUCUGCAGCUUCACUCCUGAGGCCAGCGAGACCACGAGCCCACCAGAAGGAAGAAACUCCGAACACGUCCGAACAUCAGAAGGAACAAACUCUGGACACACCACCUUUAAGAACUGUAACACUCACUGCGAGGGUCCGCAGCUUCAUUCUUGAAGUCAGUGAGACCAAGAACCCACCAAUUCCAGACACACCAUGUUAACUGUAUCUGCAAAACAGAGCCGUGGGACCUCUGGAAGUCUGACCAACCUAUUUCCAACUGUGCUUCUAGAAGCAUGUUCUGUCUUCAGAAUCUGGUUGGCAUCAAUGCUGAGACCUAAACCACAAGCAUGAGGCCCUCACCAGACUCCACCAGAAGUGGCCACCCAAUAUUGAACUUCCCAGCCUUCAGAAUUAUAAUACUCAUUCUCCGGGCAGCAGACAAAAGACUUGGAGACAUACACAGCUGAAGGAAAUGAAAAGGCAACAAGGCUAAGAGAACAAAGAUGAGCAUUGCCACGGUCCGGAGGAUGGUGGUGGAGGAAGCCUUCUCUACGCUGGUGCCUCUAUUGGAACUUUCAGGAAAUGAACAUGAACAUUGCCCUGAGAUCAUCUUGUGAGGCAGCUGGUCUAGCCUCCUGGAGGAGAAGCAGUUUUGUGGAGAAGAUUCCAGGCAUCCCUGCCAACAAGCACCAACUCCAGAUAUAUGAGGAAGAGUAGUUUACAACUGACACUGUUUGGAAUUGCUGGCACAUGGUGAUAAUCAAAGAGGCUGUUGAACUGCAUGGAAUCACAGGAAGGACUUUUGCUUAUUGUCAGUCUCUUGCUCUUUCUCACUCCUGCCCUCCUGUCCUCUCCCUUCCUUGUCUUCUUCCC